UCGAGAUGACCAAAUCUUUACGCUUCGACUCAGCCUCAAACACAAGCAGGCGCUUCACCUCAUCUCCCAGCUUCAGCAGCUGCUGCUCCUGCAGGGUGGCACAUCCAGGACCCUGUUAGGCUACUAAGCAGGUCGGAAGACAUACUAAGGCUCCCACAAUGCCGUGCGGGAUGGCGUGUGGCACAGUUUGGCAUCAGCCAUCAUAGAGUGCGAUCGUGUCGCGAAAGUUCUCUGCGCCGUGCCUCCAUGUGACUCACCCUCUGGCGCAGCAGCCGUCGGGCUGUGUAUGGAGGAGCUUAGCCUCCGGCUGCCUGCGCUGUGG
Petromyzon marinus (sea lamprey) is the source of this 322-nucleotide non-coding RNA. The record is from RefSeq and is a predicted model, not a curated record. NCBI's taxonomy places the organism in Eukaryota, Metazoa, Chordata, Hyperoartia, Petromyzontiformes, Petromyzontidae.